GACAGAGGGUGCAAACGUUGUUCGGAAUUACUGGGCGUAAAGCGCACGUAGGCGGCUUUGUAAGUUAGAGGUGAAAGCCCGGGGCUCAACCCCGGAACUGCCUUUAAGACUGCAUCGCUUGAACGUCGGAGAGGUGAGUGGAAUUCCGAGUGUAGAGGUGAAAUUCGUAGAUAUUCGGAAGAACACCAGUGGCGAAGGCGGCUCACUGGACGACUGUUGACGCUGAGGUGCGAAAGCGUGGGGAGCAAACAGG
Molecule: ribosomal RNA, 253 nt
Filed under: uncultured bacterium
Lineage: Bacteria
Description: partial 16S ribosomal RNA
Rfam family: Bacterial small subunit ribosomal RNA
Source: RNAcentral